This 377-nucleotide ribosomal RNA is filed under the name uncultured Actinobacteridae bacterium. Its description in RNAcentral is "bacterial SSU rRNA". It matches the Rfam family "Bacterial small subunit ribosomal RNA", at positions 333 to 726 of the family's 1533-position model. The record is from RNAcentral. Lineage: Bacteria; Bacillati; Actinomycetota; Actinomycetes.
GAUCUCGGGAGGCAGCAGUGGGGAAUAUUGCACAAUGGGCGAAAGCCUGAUGCAGCAACGCCGCGUGAGGGACGAAGGCCUUCGGGUUGUAAACCUCUUUUAGCAGGGAAGAAGCGAAAGUGACGGUACCUGCAGAAAAAGCACCGGCUAACUACGUGCCAGCAGCCGCGGUAAUACGUGGGGUGCAAGCGUUGUCCGGAAUUAUUGGGCGUAAAGAGCUCGUAGGCGGUUUGUCACGUCUGCUGUGAAAUUUCGAGGCUCAACCUCGAACUUGCAGUGGGUACGGGCAGGCUAGAGUGCGGUAGGGGAGAUGGGAAUUCCUGGUGUAGCGGUGGAAUGCGCAGAUAUCAGGAGGAACACCAGUGGCGAAGGCGGCA